Molecule: ribosomal RNA, 2303 nt
Filed under: Proteus mirabilis
Lineage: Bacteria; Pseudomonadati; Pseudomonadota; Gammaproteobacteria; Enterobacterales; Morganellaceae
Description: partial 23S ribosomal RNA
Rfam family: Bacterial large subunit ribosomal RNA
Source: RNAcentral
AGGUUAACCGUAUAGGGGAGCCGUAGGGAAACCGAGUCUUAACUGGGCGAAUGAGUUGCAGGGUAUAGACCCGAAACCCGGUGAUCUAUCCAUGGGCAGGUUGAAGGUUGGGUAACACUAACUGGAGGACCGAACCGACUAAUGUUGAAAAAUUAGCGGAUGACUUGUGGAUGGGGGUGAAAGGCCAAUCAAACCGGGAGAUAGCUGGUUCUCCCCGAAAGCUAUUUAGGUAGCGCCUCGUGAACUCAUCUUCGGGGGUAGAGCACUGUUUCGACUAGGGGGUCAUCCCGACUUACCAACUCGAUGCAAACUGCGAAUACCGAAGAAUGUUAUCACGGGAGACACACGGCGGGUGCUAACGUCCGUCGUGAAGAGGGAAACAACCCAGACCGCCAGCUAAGGUCCCAAAGUCAUGGUUAAGUGGGAAACGAAGUGGGAAGGCUCAGACAGCCAGGAUGUUGGCUUAGAAGCAGCCAUCAUUUAAAGAAAGCGUAAUAGCUCACUGGUCGAGUCGGCCCGCGCGGAAGAUGUAACGGGGCUAAACCAUGCACCGAAGCUGCGGCAGCGACACAAAGUGUUGUUGGGUAGGGGAGCGUUCUGUAAGCCUGCGAAGGUGUACUGUGAGGUAUGCUGGAGGUAUCAGAAGUGCGAAUGCUGACAUAAGUAACGAUAAUGCGGGUGAAAAACCCGCACGCCGGAAGACCAAGGGUUCCUGUCCAACGUUAAUCGGGGCAGGGUGAGUCGACCCCUAAGGCGAGGCUGAAAAGCGUAGUCGAUGGGAAACGGGUUAAUAUUCCCGUACUGGUGGUAACUGCGAUGGGGGAACGGAGAAGGCUAGGUUGUCCGGGCGACGGUCGUCCCGGUUCAAGCAGGUAGGCAGAGUGAUUAGGCAAAUCCGGUCACUUAAUGCUGAGAUGUGAUGACGAACCACCAAGGUGGUGAAGCAAUUGAUGCCCCGCUUCCAGGAAAAGCCUCUAAGCUUCAGGUUACCAACAAUCGUACCCCAAACCGACACAGGUGGUCAGGUAGAGAAUACUCAGGCGCUUGAGAGAACUCGGGUGAAGGAACUAGGCAAAAUGGUGCCGUAACUUCGGGAGAAGGCACGCUGGCGGUAGGUAAAGUCCCUUGCGGACGGCGCUGAAGCCAGUCGAAGAUACCAGCUGGCUGCAACUGUUUAUUAAAAACACAGCACUGUGCAAACACGAAAGUGGACGUAUACGGUGUGACGCCUGCCCGGUGCUGGAAGGUUAAUUGAUGGGGUUAGCCGCAAGGCGAAGCUCCUGAUCGAAGCCCCAGUAAACGGCGGCCGUAACUAUAACGGUCCUAAGGUAGCGAAAUUCCUUGUCGGGUAAGUUCCGACCUGCACGAAUGGCGUAAUGAUGGCCAGGCUGUCUCCACCCGAGACUCAGUGAAAUUGAACUCGCUGUGAAGAUGCAGUGUACCCGCGGCAAGACGGAAAGACCCCGUGAACCUUUACUAUAGCUUGACACUGAACAUUGAGCCUUGAUGUGUAGGAUAGGUGGGAGGCUUUGAAGUGUGGACGCCAGUCUGCAUGGAGCCAACCUUGAAAUACCACCCUUUAACGUUUGAUGUUCUAACCUAGGCCCAUAAACUGGGUCGGGGACCGUGUCUGGUGGGUAGUUUGACUGGGGCGGUCUCCUCCUAAAGAGUAACGGAGGAGCACGAAGGUUGGCUAAGCAUGGUCGGACAUCAUGCGGUUAGUGCAAAGGCAUAAGCCAGCUUGACUGCGAGAGUGACGGCUCGAGCAGGUACGAAAGUAGGUCUUAGUGAUCCGGUGGUUCUGAAUGGAAGGGCCAUCGCUCAACGGAUAAAAGGUACUCCGGGGAUAACAGGCUGAUACCGCCCAAGAGUUCAUAUCGACGGCGGUGUUUGGCACCUCGAUGUCGGCUCAUCACAUCCUGGGGCUGAAGUAGGUCCCAAGGGUAUGGCUGUUCGCCAUUUAAAGUGGUACGCGAGCUGGGUUUAGAACGUCGUGAGACAGUUCGGUCCCUAUCUGCCGUGGGCGUUGGAAGAUUGAGAGGGGUUGCUCCUAGUACGAGAGGACCGGAGUGAACGCACCACUGGUGUUCGGGUUGUCAUGCCAAUGGCAUUGCCCGGUAGCUAAGUGCGGAAGAGAUAACCGCUGAAAGCAUCUAAGCGGGAAACUUGCCUCGAGAUGAGUCUUCCCUGUCGCUUUAAGCGACCUAAAGGAACGUUUAAGACUAAGACGUUGAUAGGCUGGGUGUGUAAGCGUAGCGAUACGUUGAGCUAACCAGUACUAAUGAACCGUGAGGCUUAACCUG